UCUCCACAUGCUGUCCAUCCAUCCAGGCCU
This 30-nucleotide non-coding RNA is filed under the name Mus musculus (house mouse). The record is from RNAcentral. Lineage: Eukaryota; Metazoa; Chordata; Mammalia; Rodentia; Muridae.